RNAcentral lists this ribosomal RNA (377 nucleotides) under uncultured bacterium. RNAcentral's name for it is "bacterial SSU rRNA". It matches the Rfam family "Bacterial small subunit ribosomal RNA", at positions 521 to 896 of the family's 1533-position model. The record is from RNAcentral.
UAAUACAGAGGCCUCAAGCGUUAGGCGGAAUCACUGGGCUUAAAGCGUGUGUAGGCGGAUGUCUAAGUGCCUUGUGAAAUCCCAUGGCUCAACCAUGGAACUGCUGGGCAUACUGGACGUCUUGAGCCAUCCAGGGGUCGCUGGAACAAACGGUGGAGCGGUGAAAUGCGUAGAUAUCGUUUGGAACGCCAAAGGUGAAGACAGGCGACUGGGGAUGUGCUGACGCUGAGACACGAAAGCCAGGGGAGCAAACGGGAUUAGAUACCCCGGUAGUCCUGGCCCUAAACGAUGUCCACUAGAUUAUGGCGCCUUUGACGGCGUCAUGGUCGAAGCAAAAGUGUUAAGUGGACCGCCUGGGAAGUACGGUCGCAAGGCUA